RNAcentral lists this transfer RNA (148 nucleotides) under Pseudomonadota bacterium. RNAcentral describes it as "Proteobacteria bacterium (activated sludge metagenome) tRNA-OTHER". It matches the Rfam family "tRNA". Rfam says of the family: Transfer RNA (tRNA) molecules are approximately 80 nucleotides in length. The record is from RNAcentral. Lineage: Bacteria; Pseudomonadati; Pseudomonadota.
GCUUUCAUAGCUCAGUCGGUAGCAGCACAAGACUUUUAUUGGCUCCGCAAAGACUCCUUUGUCGCUUUGCUGCGCAGCAGAGCGAGGCACGAGCCUCUGCGAAGCCAGAGUAAUCUUGGGGUCGUGGGUUCGAGCCCCACUGGAAGCU